UGGGGAAUUUUGGACAAUGGGCGCAAGCCUGAUCCAGCAAUGCCGCGUGCAGGAUGAAGGCCUUCGGGUUGUAAACUUCUUUUAUUUGGGACGAAACACUCUUUAUCUAGAGAGCUUGCCGGUACCAGAUGAAUAAGCACCGGCUAACUCCGUGCCAGCAGCCGCGGUAAUACGGAGGGUGCAAGCGUUAAUCGGAAUUACUGGGCGUAAAGCGUGCGCAGGCGGUUUUGUAAGACAGGCGUGAAAUCCCCGGGCUCAACCUGGGAACUGCGUUUGUGACUGCAAGGCUAGAGGAUGGCAGAGGGGGGAGGAAUUCCACGUGUAGCAGUGAAAUGCGUAGAGAUGAGGAGGAGCACCGAUGGCGAAGGCAGCGCCCUGGGCCAAUACUGACGCUGAUGCACGAAAGCGUGGGUAGCAAACA
RNAcentral lists this ribosomal RNA (421 nucleotides) under uncultured bacterium. Its description in RNAcentral is "bacterial SSU rRNA". It matches the Rfam family "Bacterial small subunit ribosomal RNA", at positions 355 to 774 of the family's 1533-position model. The record is from RNAcentral.